GACGAACGCUGGCGGCGUGCCUAAUACAUGCAAGUAGGACGCAGUUGCGAACGGGUGAGUAACGCGUAGGUACCUGCCUAUUAGAGGGGGAUAAAUAUUGGAAACGAUAGCUAAUACCGCAUACUAGUAGAUGGACCUGCGUUGUAUUAUGUAGUAGGUAGGGUAAUGGCCUACCUAGGCGACGAUACAUAGCCGAGCGGGAAGGGGGAUAGGGAACAAUGGGAAUGAGACACGGCCCAGACUCCUACGGGAGGCAGCAGGAGGGAAUCGUCGGCAAUGGGGGGAACCCUGACCGAGCAACGGCGCGGGAGUGAAGAAGGUUUGCGGAUCGUAAAGCUCUGUUGUUAAGGAAGCGGUACUUAACCAGAAAGGGACGGCUAACUACGUGCCAGCCGCCGCGGUAAUAC
This 407-nucleotide ribosomal RNA is filed under the name uncultured bacterium. Its description in RNAcentral is "partial 16S ribosomal RNA". It matches the Rfam family "Bacterial small subunit ribosomal RNA", at positions 28 to 526 of the family's 1533-position model. The record is from RNAcentral.